Molecule: unclassified non-coding RNA, 3289 nt
Filed under: Leishmania donovani
Lineage: Eukaryota; Euglenozoa; Kinetoplastea; Trypanosomatida; Trypanosomatidae
Description: gene:LdHU3.31.4900(CDS-product:3'-5'_exonuclease-_putative)
Source: RNAcentral
AGGCCACUUUUAGGCCGCAUCCAUGGUGCGACGGCGCCUUGUUAUCGAUCCGAUUUGGAGAGUGAUCGAUGCACAGCAGUACCACUCUCUAUGGGAAGUCCUCUCUGCUGAAGCUGUGUCUUAUGGCUUCGUCGGAUUCGACAUGGAAUGGACGACGACACUCCAAGUACCCGAUGCGGACAGCGACAACAACAGACCCCCAAUGGCAUGCGGUACGUCUGGAAAGUCGAAGGCGCGACGACUGCUGGGGCCCGUCGCAACGAUUCAGCUAAGCACGUACUCGUGCACAAUUGUGGUUAAGUGGAUCCACUUGCACGCCUUGACCGCCGGUGGCUUCGCCGAUGUUCUCCGCGACCCGUUCGCUCCUGCGUCGGCUUGCUGGCCGUGCUACCGUGAGGGGCAGAGGCAAAACUCGGUGGCCCUUCUGCAUAAAGUAUACACAGAUCUGUUGCGCCUCAUCCACAACCGACGCAUAUUCAAGACCGGCGUCGGCAUCCAUGGGGAUGAGGUGAAGCUCCAUCGCGAUUACCCGGCGGCCCAGCUUCGGUCAGCGGUGGAUCUGGUUGAGUUGGCAGAUGCCUGUUUGCCUGACAUGGUGCCUGAUCACAGCCUCAAGCACACGAAUCAGGAGGUGACUCUGGUAAGAACCGACUCUUUGCGCAGUCUCAAGAACAUGUGCAGUGCCCUCACAGGGCGAGAGCUGGGCAAGGACAUGGCUGUUGUGAUGAGCGACUGGGGCGGCUGUCACGGCGCUCUAACACCGCUCCAGAUUGAGUACGCAGCACAAGACGCUGAGGCGUCGUACGACGUCUGUGUCGCCAUUUUAAAGAGCGGUGGCUUCAUCGUGGACAACCCGAUCUGUGCGACGCACUCAGACAACACAGCAACCCAUUUGCCGUGGUGUACGGUGAAAGAGCUUGACUGUCGUGAAGUGCUGGCUUGCUGCGCCAGACCGCCAAUGAGCGCGUUUAAAGGCACCUCCGCUGCACUGAAAGACGCUGGAAACGCGACAGGGGGAAUCCUAUGCGAUGCCCUUGGAGCUGGCGUGAACGCAUCAGCGUCGAAGGAACCUUGCACUACUGCAGCAAACGAGGGUGACCCGCUGCAGUGGUGCAAAGGCCGUGAGCGGCCGUACUAUGACAACAUCAGCGUCUUCGAUCCCGACAUGCAGCUGGUCUUUACAGUGGACAAGACCAAAGCGGAUUGGUACGUGAACAAGAAGGGACUAGCGAGGGUGGUGCAGUGGCGCACCCCUGCCGGCGCGAUAGUGAGGGAGGAAGAGAAGGCAACGCUCUCUGACGCGGUGGAUAACUUGGUGGUGACCGCCAUUCAGCUCAGCUUCGUGCCAGACUUUUCUCGCUACAACGACGUGCACAUCCGUCGUAACAUGGACUACUUCAAGCAACCAAAGGAGAACAUCUGCGUCGUGUGCGGUAGUGGCGGGAUGCUUGUGCGGUUUGCCGUCGUACCACUCAUGUACCGCCGCUUUUUCCCGAGUGUGUACAUGAGCCACAACAGCUACGACCUGCUUUUGCUGUGCCCUCACUGCUUUGCCAAGUCUCGGCGGUUGUACGAUCGCCUGCGCCAGAACGUCGCCGACGACUUCGGCAUUCCACUCAUGCAUCUGCGCGGCAAGCAGCGGGACGAGUACGCUGAUGUAAUACUGAAGACGGAGCAGGCUAUCAACGCACUGUCUGCUGCUUACGAGGAGGCGAAAGAACGAGUGUUGCCCACACCGGGGCACGAGGAUGUGCCUGAGAGAGACUGCGAUCUGCACCCGCGCCUCCGGCUUCGAGGGAUGCAAGACUUUCUUUCGCUGAUGGUGCAUCGUGAGAUUUUGGACAAGGUAUUCAGCUUCGCCAAAGCGCUCCACCAUCACUACGAGUCCUUGCAAAGGCACGGAGAAGCGUGCGACAGCGGCAUCGAUAAGGAGAACGUAGUGGCCACACCUGGCGGUGCUUGUCGUCCUUCAGGGACGCCAACGGGGCGCAGGAGGAGCGACAGACGCCACCGUCAGAGGGCCGGCACCGCUCGUGCAGCUGCCGCCACCAUUCUCCCGGAGGAGCGGCGCACCAUGAUGAUUGAAUACCUGCAAACACACGCUUCUGUCUACCCAUUCUUCGCACGCCAAAGAGGCGAGGACAGCUGUCAGGCCGGCUGGCAGCUUCAAGACGCUGUGUUUCACGCUGAGCGUGAUGGCGCCGCAUCGGCGCAAGGCGUACGUUUCAUUUUGACCGGAGUUUCCGCAUUGCCGGACGCCGCUGGAUACGCGUACAGGGAGAGCGCUGGAGUGCAGCAGGGCAACUCGAGCCGCAGUGUGCUGACUCGGUACUGGGUCGGCGAGCAUUCGGAGCUGCUGGCACUGCUCCCCACCUUGACUCGUGCGGAGGAGCGGCUGCGUCAGCCAGCGAGCAGCGAUGAGACGAGGGAAUCAAAUGGCGGCCCUGCGCAGCGAAGCUCGCCACCCGCGGAUAUGACGGCCGAUAGUGAGGUAUCGGAGGUGCCGUACGUGGACAGCCACGCGUUUCUGGUGGUGCGUCUUCUCUUGGAAAAGUACUCCGAUGCAUCGUCGGGUGCCAAGACCGGUGAACACGCGGUAGGCCAGUUCAUCUUCCGCUGGCGCUCUAGUUUCGUGGAGGGCAUGCAUCCGCAGCACUUGCCGCGUGGGUGGACUCCGGAGGAUGGCAUUCUACGGUGACCGGUUGUCGCCAGUUUUGCGCUUGAGUGUGGUGAGUAAUAUAUGUGUGUGUGCGUGUGCCUCGCGCUCUCGGUCAAGUAGCGGCCUCGCAGCCGGCGGAUGUGCGCUGGGGCGCUUGUUCUUUCCGCAUUGAGACGCGAACAAGUACGCGCCACGCGAACAUGACGGAGCGGAGGCUUCUGCGCAUCGUGCCUCUCGCUCGCAAGCCGCGCGUGCAACCCUCCCCGAAAGUGGCCCUGAGGCGCGCAGCGUUCGUGUCUUUGUUUUCCGUGUGACUUUCGUCGCCUUUGGAGCGACCGGAAAAAAAAGCGGAAGAAAAGUGUUGGGGCCGGCGCACUCGUUGGUGCCACGCCAGAACCCACCGCCUCCUUCCCGCCCUCCCGCUCCAAAGCUGGCACUUGCGUCUGGUGCCACGAUGCGUCUUCCGUGGCCUGCGCCAGCGUUGAAGCUGCCCAUUUCCCUUCGUCACCGUCGCCGCGCAGCAUUCUUAUGUUGCCCGCGUUUUUUCUCCUUGCGCGGUGCUGAUCACGGCACUGCCUCGUUUGCACUUCUCUACCCUCUGCAUAUUAUCUUGCCGGUACGCGUCGCCAG